Molecule: long non-coding RNA, 143 nt
Organism: Rhagoletis pomonella (apple maggot)
Lineage: Eukaryota; Metazoa; Arthropoda; Insecta; Diptera; Tephritidae
Exons: 3
Source: RefSeq, a predicted model, not a curated record
UCUGGCCCUGGGUUUGACUCGAUGCCAGCCCUGAGCAGAAGGGUGCGGAGAAGGUGUAGCCCUAGGAUCGAGCAACGUUUGAUAGAUUUCGCCGACCUAAACGGGGUUAGAUCGCCGAAACAACAGCCCUUGUUCGGGUAAAA